RNAcentral lists this ribosomal RNA (850 nucleotides) under Eniochobothrium sp. n. 2 AW-2016. RNAcentral's name for it is "partial 16S ribosomal RNA". The stretch from base 574 to 850 matches the Rfam family "Bacterial large subunit ribosomal RNA", at positions 2048 to 2618 of the family's 2925-position model. The record is from RNAcentral. Lineage: Eukaryota; Metazoa; Platyhelminthes; Cestoda.
CUCGAUUGAUUUAGAUAAUAUACGUUUUUUACCGAAAUAACAUGAUUUUAUGGUUGACUGUUUUAGCUUGUACCUUGACUUGUUAAGUAAAUUUUAGCAUAGACCAAUUUUACGUUGUGAUAAAUUAUUCGUUUGUUUUUAUAUCUGUUUGAAAGUUUGUUGUUUAUAGAUAGUUUUGUGGUUAGGAUAUCUCGAAACUUGUAAUACUAUUUUUUCUUAUACGACUUAGAAAGGGUUGAAACUACCCGUUUUUAGUAAACAUGUUAUAAUUUUUUAAAUAUGUAUGAGAUGUUUAUUGAUAAAUUUUCUUAGUAUUGAAUCUUUGGUUAAUUAUCAUGAUUGAAUAAGUAAUUUUAACUUAACUUAUAUGUCUCAUAAUUCACCUGUCUGUUUAUCAAAAACAUUUCUAUUUUUAAAUUUAAAUGGUAGUGCCUGCCCCCUGCCGAUCCAGGUAAAUGGCCGCAGUAUAUUGACUGUGCGAAGGUAGCAUAAUUAAUUGCCUUAUAAUUGAAGGCUCGUUUGAAUGGUUUGACAAGGUGAUACUUAAUAUGAGUUAUUUUUUUGAAUUUAUUACGUGAGUGCAGAAACUCGCUAGUUUAGUAAGACGGAAAGACCCCGGGAUCUUUGUUUUUUGUCUGGGGCGGAUUUUAUUAUUUCAUUAAUAGUUAGACCCUUCAUUGGUUCAUUGGUCUAAGUUACCCCGGGGAUAACAGUGUAAUAGUUUAUAAGAGAUCUUAUCGAAUUAAUUGUUUGCUACCUCGAUUUUGACUUAAGUUUUAUAUAUGGCGCAGUAGUUGUAUAAUUAGGUCUGUUCGACCUUUAAUAACUUCCAUGAGUUGAGUUAAGACCG